AAUGAGUGUAGCUCAACGGUAGAGCGAGGCCAUGAAGCUGUGGUUAUGGGUUCAAAUCCCAUCACGCA
This 68-nucleotide transfer RNA is filed under the name Proteus mirabilis. Its description in RNAcentral is "tRNA-OTHER". It matches the Rfam family "tRNA". From Rfam's summary of the family: Transfer RNA (tRNA) molecules are approximately 80 nucleotides in length. Lineage: Bacteria; Pseudomonadati; Pseudomonadota; Gammaproteobacteria; Enterobacterales; Morganellaceae. The record is from RNAcentral.